Molecule: long non-coding RNA, 649 nt
Organism: Sinocyclocheilus anshuiensis
Lineage: Eukaryota; Metazoa; Chordata; Actinopteri; Cypriniformes; Cyprinidae
Exons: 2
Source: RefSeq, a predicted model, not a curated record
CGACUGGCCUGUGCGGACGCUUAGUUUCAGUCAUGAUGGGAAAAUGCUGGCGUCAGCCUCUGAGGAUCAUUUCAUUGACAUUGCUGAAGUAGAGACGGGUGAGAAGCUCUGGGAGAUUCAGUGCGAGUCUCCGACCUUCACUGUAGCGUGGCAUCCGAAGAGACCGCUGCUGGCGUACGCCUGCGACGAUAAAGAGGGCAAAUAUGACAGCAACCGAGAGGCAGGGACCGUCAAGCUCUUUGGACUUCCCAAUGACUCCUGAGGACCAGAGUUUUCAUGUGUUCAGGCGUAUUCUGCCUCAUUAGAGGUUUAAUCGAUGGCUCAUUCGAUAUACUUGCUUUGUAUUAGUUUUCUACUUGUUUUGAGGUGAAUGGUGUAAAUAGUUCAAAGAUAUUUUGAUGUUCAGCUCUCAUAUUAGGAGUUCCUGAAUGAUCAAGGUAUCAUUUGCAAGUAUAAAUAACUACUGCCUGCAGCUCUUCUACAGAAAAAAGGAUAAUGUUUAUCCUUUUCCAAAAACUGGCUUGGCGACCAAGAUAGAAGUCUAGUCUAAGUGGUUAUCAUAUCUGUGUAGAAGACUUGAAAAUCAUUUGACUCGCAGAGCAUGUUGUUGUUGUUUCCCAUAAUUGACCAUUGCCAUUUUGUAAAAAAA